UACGUAGGGUGCGAGCGUUGUCCGGAAUUAUUGGGCGUAAAGACCUCGUAGGCGGUCUGUCGCGUCGGUCGUGAAAACUUGGGGCUUAACCCUGAGCUUGCGGUCGAUACGGGCAUGACUGGAGUUCGGCAGGGGAGACUGGAAUUCCUGGUGUAGCGGUGAAAUGCGCAGAUAUCAGGAGGAACACCGGUGGCGAAGGCGGGUCUCUGGGCCGAUACUGACGCUGAGGAGCGAAAGCGUGGGGAGCGAACAGG
RNAcentral lists this ribosomal RNA (254 nucleotides) under uncultured bacterium. Its description in RNAcentral is "partial 16S ribosomal RNA". It matches the Rfam family "Bacterial small subunit ribosomal RNA", at positions 524 to 776 of the family's 1533-position model. The record is from RNAcentral.